GAUUUUUGGAUACAUAUCAUCAGUACUGAGCCAGAGGACUGCCAUGAGAGUACAGCCUGUUAUUUGAAGAAUCCUGACUGUACAUCAGGUACAGUAGAGAGUGCAAAGCCUUGAGAUCAUGAAGCCAGAAAGCAAGCACUGCUAUUAGAGCUCCUGCCCAGACAGAGGCAGAUUUGGUGCAAGAGGGAAGGAGGUACAGGCCCAGAAGGAGCAGCGUAGCCAGAUACUACACAAGAUUCCACCUCACACUGAUCUGCCAAUGUAUUCAUUCCUCAUCUACUACUCAUCGGAUGCCCUAGACUGCUUCUGGGCAGAAGCAUCCAAGUAAGCUGAAAUGUACAUAACAAACAACACCCAACACAAAUGGAGUGCGGGGAAUCUCUGUGCUCAGGUUUUGCUACCUGUGCCUCAAUAAGACAAAGCCCAACACAAAAACUUCCUGGCUACCUGAGGUUUAAGCACAAGCCAUAGAGGGUGCUCUGCAUCUUACAGUGCAGUUCUCCUUUGAUAUGGGGGUGGGUAUGAACAGCACCUUCCCUCCUCCAUUUAUUCCUUGCAUGUGUUCAUGGUCACACCUGACAAUUUGAGCUGGGCAACAUUUGUUUUUCAUCACUAAAAUGAUUCAAGUAUCAAUUCCAUUUGAGCUGAAAUAAUGGGGAGAAAAGCUCUGAAGUAAUUGAACCAUUUUAUUUUGACAUUUUGAAAUUGAAAUGUCUGCUUUCAGAAGCAUCGAAAUAUGUUGUAAAUAUUAUUUAAAUGAUAAUUUCAACAUAAGGUUUUUCAUUUUAAAGCAGUCCUUGGGGUAAGACAAUCAACAAGAGGGUCAAGCAACUCAAACAUGGAACUAGUUUUAUUUUGGAUCAAAGAAAAUGAUUGGGUUGAUCCAAAACUAAUUUCUUUCCAUUUUGCUGAAAAUGUUCAGUUCAGUCCAAAAUGAUGUGCUACCCCUGUUCAGCCACUGAACAAAAAUAUCCAUCAUUCACCCAGCUCUACUGCUGACUUUAGUAUUGAAUAUAAGAAAUCAAGAGAAGCGAAGAGUGAUGGCCUUGCAGAGCUAAGAAAGGAGAAGCUGGAUUCUCUUCUGCUUUGGGUUUAAGGAUUCUAUUAAUGAGGCUCCAAUUACAGAGCCUAACUGCUUUUGUUGCACCUGUGUAAGUUCACAGACCACAGAGCUGCCUCGGUGAAAUGAGGGCAGAAUUAGGCCCUAGAGAAACUUCAUUAAUGGCCCUGAUGGGUGAGGAGGAGAGAGCCAGUGUGAGUUUACACAGCUAACAACCAGUGCAGGAGCAGAAGCAAAUUUACUCUGGAAAACGUUGACACAAACAGAGCUCCAGGGACACUGCUCUUAUUCUUAGUCAGUGUUUUCUAGGCAGAACUACAUUUGAAGCUCCAAAGCAGUUUAAUGAAACAACCUGGAAGUAUUUUGGGUUGCCAUAGGUUGAAGGAAACCAACUUCAGAGCUGCAAAGAAGGCACAGAGGGAAAUCCCAGCUCUUGGGGCAAGGGAGGAAGCACAUAAAGUAAACUGGAGAAAAAGUAGCAGUCACAGCUGCUGUUACUACCAAGGCCGGGACACCCCUCGUAGCUGCUCCACGGACCAGAGCACAAAAGCAGGAAGCUCAAGCCACAUGUCAAGACCCUUUCUAAAGGCUGUAAAAAGUCAGCUGCACGGAACUCAAGUCUGUAAAGUGGGAUUGACAUGCCUGGGGCAGAAGUGUUACUCAACAAGAAUCCCACACAUACCAACAAGGAUCAACUAAAGAGGGCCUCUUGGGAGUCUGCCCACCCUCGGGUGCACGGUCGGCCCCAGGCGCUUCGGGGAUGUGAUUAACCGACACGUGUCUUCGCGCGAGGGCCGCUGAAGUGGUUCCAGCGAGGACCGCACAGAAGCACGAGGAGGAAAAAUGAUCUUGGCGAGAACGAUCGCGCAUCGAUUCAGUUUGGAUGGAACGACAGCACAAACGCAACGCCUGCUUUUCGGUUCAGAACGGCAGACUUUAGUGAACGGAGGGGAGCAGUCAGUUCACGUACACCGUGGAGCGCAGGGACUUGAGUGCGGGGAGGCCUGGGGUUUCCUGAGAAAAACUAUGUGGAAUUCGCAUCUCCAGAUGAGGUUAAAAAAAACAAACCUUGUAGGGAAGUUGGCUACAAGUAACGGAAAAGGGGAUCGAUCAGUUAAGUAAGCUAUGUUUUGGAGGUCAGAAAGUCUAGGGAUAGAAUAAGCAUUGUCACAAGUCCAGCCGAGUUAGAUUUUGUAAACGAAAUUAAGAUUUUUCAGCCAGGUGAAUAAAGCGAACAAGGAAAGAAGUGCAGCUCGUAGGCAGUGAAGCUGAGGCAGAGAUUCAGCAAAGCUAACUUAGGUAUGGCUCACCACUGAACCAUUACGUCGUCUCAUUUUUCAGUGAGGACAAUGAUGUUGGCCAAGGGGGCAAAGGCAGGGUGACUGGUGGGAAUAAGGGUAUAGGGAUAGAGUAGACUAGAAAUUACCACAUCUGGUAUGGAAGUAAAGCUCUAAGUUUAACACAUUCAAGUCAGGGGGACUGGAUUAUUUCUGUCUUGGGUUAUGGAAGGAGUGGGCACGUGGAAUCACAAAUCUUGUAACAGGGAUUGUUAAUAACUCCAUCCAAUGGGUAAUGUGCUAUAGCAAAAGUAUUGCCGGUAUAUAAGAAAAGGAAAAUAAAUGGUCUGAACAACUAGAGGCUCACAGGCCUGAAAGCUUUAAAUACAUUUUGAGGGAACUAGUAAUUAGACAUAAAUAGAAAGUGGGAUAUAAUGCAACAUUGGCAUAUCAGAGGUGUAUCUUGAUAGACUAACCUGGUAUCUUUGAUAAAACAUCUUAUUUUCCAAACAAGGGAAAAUGGUAGAUCUUAUCUAUCUGGACUUCAGUAAAGCUUCUGAUGUGGUGCCAGAUGAGAAACUAUGAGCUAAACUGAAGAAAAAGUAGAUUAGUAGAAGUGUAAGAGUGGGUAAGAAACCAACGAAAAAAGCAACUACAACAGGUUAACUUCAGUGAGCAAUCCCUUCAAGAUCGCUUCUAAAAACAAACUUACUAAAUAUUUUCAUUAGCUAUCUUGGCACACAAACCAAGAGUGUGCCAAUGAAAUAUGUCAGCGGUACAAAGUUGAAGAGCAUAAUUAAAACAGGAGGAUCCGAAUAUCACGUAGGAAGAGCUGGAUGAUUACGUUUUAAGGACUGGGCAACACAUGGGAUUAAAUUCAGUAGUACAAAGUACAAAUAACAGGCAUUUAGGGACUUAUAGUGAGAAUUUCAGUUUUAAGAUGUGGGCUUAUCAGUUGGAAAGACAGAGGGACAGAGACUUGGGAGUGUGUGUCUAUUAAAGGAUGACUAUACACCAAGUGUGUGAUUCAGCUGUGAAACAGCAAAUUCAAUUCUAGGAUGUAUCAGGUGACUUAUUUCAGUAGAGACACAUUCAUGGAAUAGCAUCCAGCUUGUAGGAUGAAGGGAAAAUUAACUCAACUUUAAAAGUGUUGGAAAAGGUCAGUGCAACACUUUAGCACUGGCAAUUAGUCUUAUGUGUCACAUAAGUCUUGUACUGCUCUGCUGACCAGUAGGAAAUGGAUUUUAUAGCAUAACUGGUAGGGGAUUGUGUAUUUAAAGGUGAUAUUUUAAUAGGUGCACAAGGGGUAGAGUUAAGGUGACAAACAACAUUUACUUGUGGAUUCCCAGAGUAAUUAAAGAUUUAGUUUGCAAUUUUGGUAUUAUUUUUAGUUAAAUUAAUUUUGCUUAUAAGAACUUAAAAAUAUAUAUUAUUUUGUCCCUGGUACAACUUUGUUGAAACAGGUAGAUUGACUAGUCUUGCAUUUUGUCCUAGUAUGUUCAGGCAAUAGAUUCAAUAACUUUCAUUCUAUUUGGAUGUCAUAUUUUAUGUUGUUAUUAUAACUGGUAAUUUUCUAUUUAUGAUAAACAUGACACUAGCUAUUUGUUAAUUGAAAUAUGUCUGGAGAUGGACUAGCUGAGCUAAAUGGAAGCUGUUUAAUCUCUGAUUUUUGUGAUUCUCUCUGAAAGGCCCAUUUUUCAGUUAGAAUGAAAAAGAACAGAAGCAUUAAACUUAUCAUUAUUUAUAAAAUGUACCCAUGCUAAACUUGCAUUUAUAUAACAAAAUCAGCAUAGGUAAAUUAAAUAGUAAUCAUAUGAAUAUAUUAUUUUUUUAAAACAACUUUCA
Alligator sinensis (Chinese alligator) is the source of this 4182-nucleotide long non-coding RNA. RefSeq lists it as uncharacterized. The record is from RefSeq and is a predicted model, not a curated record. Lineage: Eukaryota; Metazoa; Chordata; Crocodylia; Alligatoridae. The transcript is spliced from 3 exons.